Molecule: ribosomal RNA, 517 nt
Filed under: uncultured bacterium
Lineage: Bacteria
Description: bacterial SSU rRNA
Rfam family: Archaeal small subunit ribosomal RNA
Source: RNAcentral
AACCUCCGCAAUGUACGAAAGUGCGACGGGGGGAUCCCAAGUGUUAUGCUUUUUUGUAUAACUUUUCAUUAGUGUAAAAAGCUUUUAGAAUAAGAGCUGGGCAAGACCGGUGCCAGCCGCCGCGGUAACACCGGCAGCUCGAGUGGUAGCUGUUUUUAUUGGGCCUAAAGCGUUCGUAGCCGGUUUGAUAAGUCUUUGGUGAAAGCUUGUAGCUUAACUAUAAGAAUUGCUGGAGAUACUAUCAGACUUGAAGUCGGGAGAGGUUAGAGGUACUACCGGGGUGGGGUGAAAUCCUAUAAUCCUGGGAGGACCACCUGUGGCGAAGGCGUCUAACUGGAACGAUCUUGACGGUGAGUAACGAAAGCCAGGGCGCGAACCGGAUUAGAUACCCGGUAGUCCUGGCCGUAAACGAUGUGGACUUGGUGUUGGAAUGGCUUUGAGUUGUUCCGGUGCCGAAGGGAAGCUGUUAAGUCCACCGCCUGGGAAGUAGGUCGCAAGACUGAAACUUAAAGGAAUU